AACAUAAGCUAGGGGUGCUCGAGGUGAGCUGAGAAAGAUGGUAUCUUAACUCUUUGAACCUGACGUGGUUAGAACCAACGAAGGGAAGCGCAAUAUGAUGACG
This 103-nucleotide non-coding RNA is filed under the name Staphylococcus pseudintermedius. RNAcentral describes it as "TPP sequence". It matches the Rfam family "TPP riboswitch aptamer (THI element)". Rfam says of the family: Vitamin B(1) in its active form thiamin pyrophosphate (TPP) is an essential coenzyme that is synthesised by coupling of pyrimidine and thiazole moieties in bacteria. Lineage: Bacteria; Bacillati; Bacillota; Bacilli; Caryophanales; Staphylococcaceae. The record is from RNAcentral.